CUGGGAUUGGGGACAUCAUGAUGCAGCAGCUGGAGAUGAGUCAGGAAUUGUCAGAUCUAUGAUUUAGCCAUCUGAGAUGGCGUGACUCAACUAUUUUAAAGUCCGAUGAUUCAUUGAUCUGAAAAUGCACAAGUUGAGCCUGUGGCAUUUGGGGAAGCGCGUGUGGGGCGAGGACAGAGCUGGGAGAACGUGCAAGGCUGUGCAGCUGAGGGAUCUGACUCAGAGACAACUGCAGAAACCCGAGCGUGGAGGCGUGACAUGGGAGUCUGAGUGGCCACCUGUUGUGCAGAUCACACCAGCCGCUCCCGCGGUGGGACCAGGCGCUGGGUCAGGGUCAGCGACGGGAUGUGCAACAGAUAAUGCUUUGCAGCUCAUACGACACCCAAUCAGCAUGACCCCCAGGGGUCCUGGAGCCAGCUUGGGCUGGAGAGUGCCCCGGUGCCCAUCUCCUCCCACCUCCGCUCCCAGUGAUGCCAAGUCUCCCCCAGACACCAUCUGGCCGGCAGGCCUCGCUGACCCUGCACCUUCACCGCCAGGACCCGGUGGCACCUGGCUUUCUGGAGCCCUUCUCGCCCGCCCCGCCGGCUCUCUCUGCUGGGAGGCGUGCUCCUGCAUUUCCCAGCUGGGAGCUGUCCUAGGAGAGUGGUCCAGAGAACCAGAGGCCGGCUGCACAGAAGACGCAUUCGCCUUGAGUGAUGAUUCACCUGCAGGUGCUUCAGAGCGUGGAGCCAAAAGAUAGAUUCACCCUUGGAGGGCAACGUUUGCUUGCAAUGUCUAGCUUUAUGGAGGAUAGAAACUGUGAAUUUUAAAAGCCAAGGACAGCACGUGGAAAAUCUGUGAAGCCCUUUCAUUCUCUUAUCUCCGAGGAGCUGGUGAGGAGAUGUUGAUAAACGGUGGAUUCAGACACAUGCAGCUCCUGGGCCAAUGGGAUCAUCCAGGCAGGCUUGGGGGCACCCUCUCUACUGGCAGCAAAUCAUUUCUGGGCUCAGCUGUUGCCAUCUUUGCUGCAGAACACAGCGGAGCCUGCGGUGAACAGAUUAGCUGAACUCCAAAGAUUGCACAUGCAUUUUCAUGGGCAUGGUUUUUCAAAAUACCCUUUUCACUGAAGAAUAACAUACAAACAGAGAAGUUCACAAAUCAUGAAUGUACAGCUUGAUGCAUUUACAAAAGGGGACACGCCCAUGAAACCACCAUCCAGAUGAAGACACAGAACAUUAACGGGGCCCCCCGAGCUCCCUGGUUCCCCUCCCCUCACUGAUGUCCUCAAAGGGAACCACUAUUCUGAGUCCCGUUACCAUCAAUGAGUUCCGUCUGGGUUUGAACUUUACAUAAACGAAAUCAUACAGUGCAUCCUCCUUUGUGUCUG
This 1366-nucleotide long non-coding RNA is filed under the name Equus asinus (donkey). RNAcentral's name for it is "lncRNA (ENSEASG00005038055.1)". Lineage: Eukaryota; Metazoa; Chordata; Mammalia; Perissodactyla; Equidae. The record is from RNAcentral.